AUGAACGCUGGCGGCGUGCCUAAUACCUGCCAGUCGAGCGAACGGACGAGAAGCUUGCUUUUCUGAUGUUAGCGGCGGACGGGUGAGUAACACGUGGAUAACCUACCUAUAAGACUGGGAUAACUUCGGGAAACCGGAGCUAAUACCGGAUAAUAUUUUGAACCGCAUGGUUCAUAAGUGAAAGACGGUCUUGCUGUCACUUAUAGAUGGAUCCGCGCUGCAUUAGCUAGUUGGUAAGGUAACGGCUUACCAAGGCAACGAUGCAUAGCCGACCUGAGAGGGUGAUCGGCCACACUGGAACUGAGACACGGUCCAGACUCCUACGGGAGGCAGCAGUAGGGAAUCUUCCGCAAUGGGCGAAAGCCUGACGGAGCAACGCCGCGUGAGUGAUGAAGGUCUUCGGAUCGUAAAACUCUGUUAUUAGGGAAGAACAUAUGUGUAAGUAACUGUGCACAUCUUGACGGUACCUAAUCAGAAAGCCACGGCUAACUACGUG
Molecule: ribosomal RNA, 496 nt
Filed under: uncultured bacterium
Lineage: Bacteria
Description: partial 16S ribosomal RNA
Rfam family: Bacterial small subunit ribosomal RNA
Source: RNAcentral